Molecule: ribosomal RNA, 210 nt
Filed under: uncultured Actinomyces sp.
Lineage: Bacteria; Bacillati; Actinomycetota; Actinomycetes; Actinomycetales; Actinomycetaceae
Description: partial 16S ribosomal RNA
Rfam family: Bacterial small subunit ribosomal RNA
Source: RNAcentral
AUGUGGCUUAAUUCGACGCAACGCGAAGAACCUUACCAAGGCUUGACAUACGCCGGAAAACCGUGGAGACACGGUCCCCCUUGUGGUCGGUGUACAGGUGGUGCAUGGCUGUCGUCAGCUCGUGUCGUGAGAUGUUGGGUUAAGUCCCGCAACGAGCGCAACCCUUGUUCUGUGUUGCCAGCAUGCCUUUCGGGGUGAUGGGGACUCACA